AUUGAACGCUGGCGGCAGGCUUAACACAUGCAAGUCGAGCGGGGGAAGGUAGCUUGCUACCGGACCUAGCGGCGGACGGGUGAGUAAUGCUUAGGAAUCUGCCUAUUAGUGGGGGACGACAUCUCGAAAGGGAUGCUAAUACCGCAUACGUCCUACGGGAGAAAGCAGGGGAUCUUCGGACCUUGCGCUAAUAGAUGAGCCUUCGGAUUAGCUAGUUGGUGGGGUAAAGGCCUACCAAGGCGACGAUCUGUAGCGGGUCUGAGAGGAUGAUCCGCCACACUGGGACUGAGACACGGCCCAGACUCCUACGGGAGGCAGCAGUGGGGAAUAUUGGACAAUGGGGGGAACCCUGAUCCAGCCAUGCCGCGUGUGUGAAGAAGGCCUUAUGGUUGUAAAGCACUUUAAGCGAGGAGGAGGCUACUUUAGUUAAUUCCUAGAGAUAGUGGACGUUACUCGCAGAAUAAGCACCGGCCAACUCUGUGCCAGCAGCCGCCGUAA
This 498-nucleotide ribosomal RNA is filed under the name uncultured bacterium. RNAcentral's name for it is "partial 16S ribosomal RNA". It matches the Rfam family "Bacterial small subunit ribosomal RNA", at positions 30 to 523 of the family's 1533-position model. The record is from RNAcentral.